GUAGGAUACGACUGGCAUACAGUCUGCCAUUGUUUGUUCCCCUGUCAUGAUCAUGAUGAUGUCCUUACGCAGCCUGAGACACGGAGGCCCAGGAGGGUCUGCAGCCCGAGCUCCUUCCUCCCUCACAGCCAGUCUCGGCCGGAAGGGAAGGCAGCUCCAAGUCAAUUGGCCUGUUACACAGACGGAAACUGAAGCCCAGGCUCUUGUGCUUUCCAGCUGUGCGACCUGAGCAAGGUGUAAGAAGCUUCCAUUUUCUCCAUGGUAAAGUGGCAUGAGAAGUGACCUCACGGGGUUACUGCAAAGAUUACACGCAGUGUUGGAUAAACACCGUUCACAUGUCUUAGCUUUCGUCAACCUACAGACAGCAUCAGCUAGGAUGAGAACAAGGUGUGCUUUCAGCAAAGGCAGCGUUCAAUACAGCCACAGAAUUCAAAGGAAAGAGGGUCUGGGGUUCUAGAAAGGCUUCCUGUAGGAGGUGACAGAGGAGCCCACUUUACAAAUGAAAAGUGCCCCAGCACCACUGAACAUCAUGAAGGAUCAGUGCUCAAGAUCAUUUUCCUGUCCGGAUUGAAGUCCAAAAUUGCUCUCUUCAUUCCCUACCUCUGCAUCUUCUGCUAUCCCAUCUUUAUGUAUUUGAAUUAAUGCUAACAUACUAUAUUAUUUAAAUAAUAAGCAGCUGUUGUGUUUACCAUUUAA
Molecule: long non-coding RNA, 696 nt
Organism: Bos taurus (domestic cattle)
Lineage: Eukaryota; Metazoa; Chordata; Mammalia; Artiodactyla; Bovidae
Source: Ensembl